Molecule: long non-coding RNA, 382 nt
Filed under: Homo sapiens (human)
Lineage: Eukaryota; Metazoa; Chordata; Mammalia; Primates; Hominidae
Description: non-protein coding lnc-PGPEP1-4:1
Source: RNAcentral
GUGCUCUGGGUUUACCAUAUUUAAUUCUUGCCUUCCUUAAUGUCUGCCUCUAUCCCCAUCCCCAGAGUAUAAAGGCCAAAGAGCUGACCUGUGGUUCUUUCAGGGACCUAUUUGUGCCUUCAUAUCUCCAACUACGAAAUGGGUAAAUGGACAUGGUGCUAGCAGGAUGACCUCAUAACUGGGGCAGGGGUUGGGAGGAAGCCCUUAGACCUGUGCCCACUGCAGAUUAAACACUCAGUAAACUCCCUUCCUUGGAAACAGCCCAAAUGUCCAUCAGCUGAUGAAGGAUCAACAAAAUGUGGUCCACCCACACAAUGGAAUAUGAUGCAGCCACAAAAAGGCAUGAAGCAGGCCGGGCACAGUGGCUCAUGCCUGUAAUCCC